This is a non-coding RNA of Plectropomus leopardus (leopard coralgrouper), 400 nucleotides long. NCBI's taxonomy places the organism in Eukaryota, Metazoa, Chordata, Actinopteri, Perciformes, Serranidae. The record is from RefSeq and is a predicted model, not a curated record.
CUACAGGAUCUGUCUGCCUGUUGGGGUUAUGAGAAGAACUGUGAUCCAGGAAGGCGCUUUGGCUAUCCAGUCUGUACUAAAGCUGAUUCAGGAUGGGCCCAUUCUCUGGAGGCAGCCCAGGAGCUUUUCUGGAAGCAGGCUGAUUUUGGCUACGUCAAGGAGCGCCUCUCUGAGCUCAAAACACUCUGCAAGGCCAGCAAGCCAGGGGACUCAUUAUUAAGAUGUAGUAGCCACACUCGCUUCUGUAAGGCUACUAACCUUUACCUGGACUUGCGUAAGCCGCGCAGAAGUCAUGAGAGGUACAAGGAGGACUUCAUUCAGAAGGGUGAGAUUGGUGGUUAUUGCAAACUCAACAAGCGAGCACUUGCUGCUGAGGGAGAGCACAAGAGCCCCUUGCAAU